Molecule: ribosomal RNA, 459 nt
Filed under: uncultured bacterium
Lineage: Bacteria
Description: partial 16S ribosomal RNA
Rfam family: Bacterial small subunit ribosomal RNA
Source: RNAcentral
CCUACGGGAGGCAGCAGUGAGGAAUAUUGGUCUAUGGGAGAGAUCCUGAACCAGCCAAGCCGCGUGAGGGAAGACGGCCCUAUGGGUUGUAAACCUCUUUUGUCGGAGAACAAAACCCGGGACGUGUCCCGGACUGCGUGUAUCCGAAGAAAAAGCAUCGGCUAACUCCGUGCCAGCAGCCGCGGUAAUACGGAGGAUGCGAGCGUUAUCCGGAUUUAUUGGGUUUAAAGGGUGCGUAGGCGGAACAUUAAGUCAGCGGUAAAAUCGAGGGGCUCAACCCCUUUAAGCCGUUGAAACUGGUGAUCUUGAGUGGGCGAGAAGUAUGCGGAAUGCGUGGUGUAGCGGUGAAAUGCAUAGAUAUCACGCAGAACUCCGAUUGCGAGGGCAGCAUACCGGCGCCCGACUGACGCUGAGGCACGAAAGCGUGGGGAUCGAACAGGAUUAGAUACCCGAGUAGUC